CGAAGGGUGCAAGCGUUAGUCGGAAUUACUGGGCGUAAAGCGUGCGUAGGCGGUUUUCUAAGUCUGCCGUGAAAGCCCCGGGCUCAACCUGGGAAUGGCGGUGGAUACUGGAAAGCUGGAGUGCGGUAGAGGAGGGUGGAAUUCCCGGUGUAGCGGUGAAAUGCGUAGAGAUCGGGAGGAGCAUCAGUGGCGAAGGCGGCCCUCUGGACCAGCACUGACGCUGAGGCACGAAAGCGUGGGGAGCAAACAGGAUUAGAUACCCUGGUAGUCCACGCCCUAAACGAUGCGAACUGGACGUUGGUCACAACUCGGUGAUCAGUGUCGAAGCUAACGCGUUAAGUUCGCCGCCUGGGGAGUACGCUCGCAAGAGUG
Molecule: ribosomal RNA, 372 nt
Filed under: uncultured organism
Description: bacterial SSU rRNA
Rfam family: Bacterial small subunit ribosomal RNA
Source: RNAcentral